GUGAGAUAAAUUUGCCAAGGAUCAGCUUCUGUCUCUGGCUACAUUCCCCCCUCCUCAGUGAAACAGCAUUUAAAAGGAAACAUCCCUGAAUCAUUUUUUACUAAUGAUUGAACAACAGCAUGGUCACUUCCUCCUGCUGGCUGUAGUCUUCCUUCUUCCCAGAACAGGUUAGGAAUAAAAGACACAAUGAUAUGGAAACAUUUCCCAGAAACUACAUUUCCAACUUUGUUAUUAAUCUCUCAAAUCUAAAUAGAGGUGCUAAAGUGGAACGCACAGAAAAAUAAGUGCCUACUGGUCUGCCAUGAAGAAUAAUAACAACAUUUACGACUAAAAGUAAAUUUAGUGCUUGUGUCACACCAACAUUGGAUAAAAGUGCUAACACUCAAUAAUUACCUUGUUGCUAACUUGGCCUUGAUAAGAAAGCAUUCUUUUUAAAAGUACAUGACUGGUCAUGUAAUUUUGUAGACGAGUAGUUCAUUAAGAAACAAAAAAGCAAAUCUAGUGAAUCUGAGUUAAAGACAAUGACUUAGUAAAAGCUCUGAUGAACUAUGAAAGAUAACGUUGGGUGGCACAGAUUUCCUUCCCUCCCUCCCCUCUCCCAUCCCUGAUAUCUGAGAGUCAUUAAAGUGCAUAUAAUAGGGUUAUUGUGUUGAUUAGUUGCUCAGUUGUGUCUGACUCUUUGCGGCCCCUUGGACUGUAGGCUCCUCUCUCCACGGGAUUUCCCAGACAAGAAUACUGCAGUAGGUUGCCAUUUCUUCCUCCAGGGGAUCUUUCUGACUCAGGAUUGAACUUAGGUCUCCUACGUCUCCUGUAUUGUAGGCGAAUUCUUCACCACUGUGUCACCUGGGAAGCCUUGUAAUAUGCUUAUAUGCCUUCCUUAAAAAUGAUGUCUAUUAAGCAUGCUUACCCUUUGCAUAGAAAGAGAUAGUUCAAGGUUAUGCUAAAUAAAAUAUUAUAUGUGCCAUUUAUAUGAAAAGUUGCCUAAGGCAAAAAAUGUGGAAUAUGUUUAUCUAUCCUUCUGCUUUGUGUCCCAGAUUUAGCACCAAUAUGUGCCCUGAAUUGGAUUAAGCCUUCAGAAUAUUUUCAAAAGGACCCUCAAAAGAUGGACUCUAGCAUCAAAGGUCUUUUUCUUUUUUUAAAAAAAUUUUUUGUUGCACCACACGGCAUGUGGGAAUCUUAGUUGCCCAACCAGGGAUGGAACCCAUGCCCUCUGCAUUAGAAGCAUGGACUCUUAACCACUGGACCUCUAGGG
Molecule: long non-coding RNA, 1252 nt
Organism: Bos taurus (domestic cattle)
Lineage: Eukaryota; Metazoa; Chordata; Mammalia; Artiodactyla; Bovidae
Source: Ensembl